This 70-nucleotide transfer RNA is filed under the name Rattus norvegicus (Norway rat). It matches the Rfam family "tRNA". From Rfam's summary of the family: Transfer RNA (tRNA) molecules are approximately 80 nucleotides in length. Lineage: Eukaryota; Metazoa; Chordata; Mammalia; Rodentia; Muridae. The record is from Rfam by way of RNAcentral.
GGGGAUUUAGCUCAGCGGUAGAGCGCUUGCCUAGGAAGCGCAAGGCCCUGGGUUCGGUCCCCAGCUCCCA